Molecule: long non-coding RNA, 367 nt
Organism: Suricata suricatta (meerkat)
Lineage: Eukaryota; Metazoa; Chordata; Mammalia; Carnivora; Herpestidae
Exons: 4
Source: RefSeq, a predicted model, not a curated record
CUGGAGGAUCAGCCAACAGGACUACAGAACUCCUGCACUUUUGGGCAUGUCCAUGCUCUCCCAACAGUGGAAGCAAAAUCAUUGAGACACUUAAAAUUCCACUGAGAUCACCCUAAUUACCAGGAUAAUCUAUCCGUCUCAAGAUCCCUGACGGAAUUUUCAUCUGCAAAGUUCUUCUCAUCAACCAAAUAGCAUUUACUUUAGGAACAGGAUUUACACACCACUGGAUCACAGAACAGAGGUGGACCAAGACAGUUCUUUGGAGGCUCAAUGAGUGAUUUCUCCUGAGAGAGACACAUCUCUCUAGUCUGCCAAGGAAUGAAAAAUCAGACAAUCGCAUAAAUCAUUUUGAAUGUUGCCAAAUAAA